UGGGGAAUUUUGGACAAUGGGGGCAACCCUGAUCCAGCCAUGCCGCGUGCGGGAAGAAGGCCUUCGGGUUGUAAACCGCUUUCGGCCGGGACGAAAUCGCUUUCCUGAACAAGGGGGGUGGAUGACGGUACCGGAAGCAGAAGCACCGGCUAACUACGUGCCAGCAGCCGCGGUAAUACGUAGGGUGCGAGCGUUAAUCGGAAUUACUGGGCGUAAAGCGUGCGCAGGCGGCCCUCUAAGACAGGUGUG
RNAcentral lists this ribosomal RNA (249 nucleotides) under uncultured beta proteobacterium. Its description in RNAcentral is "partial 16S ribosomal RNA". It matches the Rfam family "Bacterial small subunit ribosomal RNA", at positions 355 to 596 of the family's 1533-position model. Lineage: Bacteria; Pseudomonadati; Pseudomonadota; Betaproteobacteria. The record is from RNAcentral.